Molecule: ribosomal RNA, 426 nt
Filed under: uncultured bacterium
Lineage: Bacteria
Description: bacterial SSU rRNA
Rfam family: Bacterial small subunit ribosomal RNA
Source: RNAcentral
GUGAGGAAUAUUGGUCAAUGGGCGGAAGCCUGAACCAGCCAAGUCGCGUGAGGGAAGAAGGCCCUGCGGGUCGCAGACCUCUUUGGACGGGGAGCAAGGCCGCCGACGUGUCGGCGGAAGGAGAGUACCCGUAGAACAAGCAUCGGCUAACUCCGUGCCAGCAGCCGCGGUAAUACGGAGGAUGCGAGCGUUAUCCGGAUUUAUUGGGUUUAAAGGGUGCGUAGGCGGCCUUUUAAGUCAGCGGUGAAAGUCUGUGGCUCAACCAUAGAAUUGCCGUUGAAACUGGGGGGCUUGAGUAUGUUUGAGGCAGGCGGAAUGCGUGGUGUAGCGGUGAAAUGCAUAGAUAUCACGCAGAACCCCGAUUGCGAAGGCAGCCUGCCAAGCCAUUACUGACGCUGAUGCACGAAAGCGUGGGGAUCAAACAGG